AAUCCAUAGGUUAAUGAGGCGAACCGGGGGAACUGAAACAUCUAAGUACCCCGAGGAAAAGAAAUCAACCGAGAUUCCCCCAGUAGCGGCGAGCGAACGGGGAGGAGCCCAGAGCCUGAAUCAGCAUGUGUGUUAGUGGAAGCGUCUGGAAAGGCGCGCGAUACAGGGUGACAGCCCCGUACACAAAAGCGCAUGUGCUGUGAGCUCGAUGAGUAGGGCGGGACACGUGGUAUCCUGUCUGAAUAUGGGGGGACCAUCCUCCAAGGCUAAAUACUCCUGACUGACCGAUAGUGAACCAGUACCGUGAGGGAAAGGCGAAAAGAACCCCGGCGAGGGGAGUGAAAAAGAACCUGAAACCGUGUACGUACAAGCAGUGGGAGCACCCUUUGGGUGUGACUGCGUACCUUUUGUAUAAUGGGUCAGCGACUUAUAUUCUGUAGCAAGGUUAACCGAAUAGGGGAGCCGGAGGGAAACCGAGUCUUAACCGGGCGUUAAGUUGCAGGGUAUAGACCCGAAACCCGGUGAUCUAGCCAUGGGCAGGUUGAAGGUUGGGUAACACUAACUGGAGGACCGAACCGACUAAUGUUGAAAAAUUAGCGGAUGACCUGUGGCUGGGGGUGAAAGGCCAAUCAAACCGGGAGAUAGCUGGUUCUCCCCGAAAGCUAUUUAGGUAGCGCCUCGUGAAUUCAUCUCCGGGGGUAGAGCACUGUUUCGGCUAGGGGGCCAUCCCGGCUUACCAACCCGAUGCAAACUGCGAAUACCGGAGAAUGUUAUCACGGGAGACACACGGCGGGUGCUAACGUCCGUCGUGAAGAGGGAAACAACCCAGACCGCCAGCUAAGGUCCCAAAGUCAUGGUUAAGUGGGAAACGAUGUGGGAAGGCCCAGACAGCCAGGAUGUUGGCUUAGAAGCAGCCAUCAUUUAAAGAAAGCGUAAUAGCUCACUGGUCGAGUCGGCCUGCGCGGAAGAUGUAACGGGGCUAAACCAUGCACCGAAGCUGCGGCAGCGACACUGUGUGUUGUUGGGUAGGGGAGCGUUCUGUAAGCCUGUGAAGGUGUGUCGUGAGGCAUGCUGGAGGUAUCAGAAGUGCGAAUGCUGACAUAAGUAACGAUAAAGCGGGUGAAAAGCCCGCUCGCCGGAAGACCAAGGGUUCCUGUCCAACGUUAAUCGGGGCAGGGUGAGUCGACCCCUAAGGCGAGGCCGAAAGGCGUAGUCGAUGGGAAACGGGUUAAUAUUCCCGUACUUGGUGUUACUGCGAAGGGGGGACGGAGAAGGCUAUGUUGGCCGGGCGACGGUUGUCCCGGUUUAAGCGUGUAGGUGUGUGUUCCAGGUAAAUCCGGUUCACUUUAACACUGAGGCGUGACGACGAGGCACUACGGUGCUGAAGCAACAAAUGCCCUGCUUCCAGGAAAAGCCUCUAAGCAUCAGGUAACAUCAAAUCGUACCCCAAACCGACACAGGUGGUCAGGUAGAGAAUACCAAGGCGCUUGAGAGAACUCGGGUGAAGGAACUAGGCAAAAUGGUGCCGUAACUUCGGGAGAAGGCACGCUGACACGUAGGUGAAGUGAUUUACUCAUGGAGCUGAAGUCAGUCGAAGAUACCAGCUGGCUGCAACUGUUUAUUAAAAACACAGCACUGUGCAAACACGAAAGUGGACGUAUACGGUGUGACGCCUGCCCGGUGCCGGAAGGUUAAUUGAUGGGGUCAGCGCAAGCGAAGCUCCUGAUCGAAGCCCCGGUAAACGGCGGCCGUAACUAUAACGGUCCUAAGGUAGCGAAAUUCCUUGUCGGGUAAGUUCCGACCUGCACGAAUGGCGUAAUGAUGGCCAGGCUGUCUCCACCCGAGACUCAGUGAAAUUGAACUCGCUGUGAAGAUGCAGUGUACCCGCGGCAAGACGGAAAGACCCCGUGAACCUUUACUAUAGCUUGACACUGAACAUUGAGCCUUGAUGUGUAGGAUAGGUGGGAGGCUUUGAAGUGUGGACGCCAGUCUGCAUGGAGCCGACCUUGAAAUACCACCCUUUAAUGUUUGAUGUUCUAACGUGGACCCGUUACCCGGGUUGCGGACAGUGUCUGGUGGGUAGUUUGACUGGGGCGGUCUCCUCCUAAAGAGUAACGGAGGAGCACGAAGGUUGGCUAAUCCUGGUCGGACAUCAGGAGGUUAGUGCAAUGGCAUAAGCCAGCUUGACUGCGAGCGUGACGGCGCGAGCAGGUGCGAAAGCAGGUCAUAGUGAUCCGGUGGUUCUGAAUGGAAGGGCCAUCGCUCAACGGAUAAAAGGUACUCCGGGGAUAACAGGCUGAUACCGCCCAAGAGUUCAUAUCGACGGCGGUGUUUGGCACCUCGAUGUCGGCUCAUCACAUCCUGGGGCUGAAGUAGGUCCCAAGGGUAUGGCUGUUCGCCAUUUAAAGUGGUACGCGAGCUGGGUUUAGAACGUCGUGAGACAGUUCGGUCCCUAUCUGCCGUGGGCGCUGGAGAACUGAGGGGGGCUGCUCCUAGUACGAGAGGACCGGAGUGGACGCAUCACUGGUGUUCGGGUUGUCAUGCCAAUGGCACUGCCCGGUAGCUAAAUGCGGAAGAGAUAAGUGCUGAAAGCAUCUAAGCACGAAACUUGCCCCGAGAUGAGUUCUCCCUGAGACUUAGAGUCUCCUGAAGGAACGUUGAAGACGACGACGUUGA
RNAcentral lists this ribosomal RNA (2676 nucleotides) under Salmonella enterica subsp. enterica serovar Enteritidis. RNAcentral describes it as "partial 23S ribosomal RNA". It matches the Rfam family "Bacterial large subunit ribosomal RNA". The record is from RNAcentral. Lineage: Bacteria; Pseudomonadati; Pseudomonadota; Gammaproteobacteria; Enterobacterales; Enterobacteriaceae.